Molecule: long non-coding RNA, 1736 nt
Filed under: Amphibalanus amphitrite
Lineage: Eukaryota; Metazoa; Arthropoda; Thecostraca; Balanomorpha; Balanidae
Description: uncharacterized LOC122375863
Source: RNAcentral
UAUGACUGUUGACAUUACUGCCGAUAUGACGGAGCAGUGCAUUGGCAAUAUGCCAAGGGCAGUAACAUGCCGUCAGUCACGUCAGUCAUCGGCCUUGGCUAUCUGUAAGAAUCUUGGCAGGAAUCUUGGCCUUUUCUUGGACCCAUAGCCUCGGCCUUCGACCAAUCAUAUCGCCGAAUUCGCAGGCGGUGAGAGACAAAUACGGCGUGCCAAAGACAUAUUGGGUGUCUCAAAAUCACUGAGAACUCUAUAGCUCAAAACUUAAGCCCUGCACUCUUUUAGAUCUACCCCGUUGAGUGGCAUUCUUGUGAAAAUUAUGUAAAGAUAUUUAUCAGAAUAAGGUAGAAGUGUAGGGGGUGGCAGGUGAGGUGCAGAAGAAGAAGAAGUUGUACCUAUCCAGUAAUUUUAUCUUGAUUUGUGGACUAGACGAAGACUAGAUUUUGAUGAAGAAAUCGACAAACUUAAACUGCAGGACUCGUGGCGCUGCUCGCCUCCUCGCCAAUGCGAAUGCGUUCUCUGAGGAUAACCCGCCCAAGGCUACCAUGGCGAAGCCACGCCACCGCGCCGGCUAUAGACUCACGGCCUGAAGCGAGUUUGGGCGCGACGGCUGGCGAGCCAAGGCGGCGGAAAGUCGUCUGGCGGAGCUCCCGUCUGAGGCGAGCUUGAUCUGGUCAGACAGCUCCGCCACCGAUGGUGUGCUAGAUGGAGGAGGAGGGGCCACCCCCCCCCCCCGAACCGCGACAUCCGAGAGGUGCGUGUCGCGGCAGGCGCCCUCUGCUCUAGCACGCGCGGCGAGCUAUUCGCCCUAAGAGCGGUGUUGGAGGAGCUGGCCGGACGGAUGGUACCGGUCGAUAUGGGUCGACCGCCGUCUAUCCCAACGGUAGCGCCAAUCGACGUGGGCACUAUCUACAAGGCAGGCGCGCGCGCGCGACAGGCGCGCCACGGCAGGCGCGCGCGCGACGCUGCGCGCGCCUGGCAGCGGAGCUGGCCGGACGGAUGGUACCGGUCGAUAUGGGUCGACCGCUGUCCUGGCUCCGUCCUGGAGGCCGACCGUGCAGUCGUUAUCGACAUCCGCCAGUACCUGCUCUGCAUCGGCCGCCUCCCGAGGCCGGAUGCCCACAAUGCAACGACGUGGAGUGCCCUGCUGCCCGAUGCCGCGUCUGCCGCGAAGAGGCUGGCACUCCACGGUAUGUGCUGUUGCGAUGCGCGGCGCUGGCGGCGUUGCGACAAAGAGCCUCGGCAGCUGAACUGCUUCAAGCGACGUAACGAUAUCUGCCCUCCCCUCCCCUAUCGAGCCGCGUGGGUGUGGACGGACGGGUCGGCAGACGCGAGAACCUGCAGCGAAGGAGCUGGGGUCUACGGGGAGUAGCAGGACGAAUGGACUGAUGAGCCGCGUGUCCCGGCCGGUCCAUUCUGCUGUUCCAGCUCCAGGACCGGCCGCGCCGUCGCCACCCGUCCGGCGUCAGUGGAGGACCGCUCAUCAGCUGUCGAUUUUCAUCAGUUUCGUUUGGACCACUGUUCGGGCUCCUGUCAGUGCCGACAUUGGGUUGGGCGGAGUCCUACCGAUGAAUGCCGCGAGUGCUGCAACAUUGGCUCGGUACAUCUCGGUACAUUUUCCCGAGUCUGGUGUGGCUACGGGGAGACGGAUUUGGUGACCCUGGCUGCCGCCGUGAGAACCAUCCAGAACCGUACGGCUAUGCUGCGGCAGCGGCUGAAAGGAACGCAACAACAAUAAC